CUCAAGAUCACUGACACACACAGAAAAGCUUACUGGUACACACAAGCUUAUUACAGACAAACUCUCUGACACACACACACACACACAAGUCACAACAGACAAGUUCACUGACACACACAUGCUCACUACAGACAAACUCUCUGACACACACACACACAUGCUCACUACAACCAAGCUCACUGACACACACAUGCUCACUACAAACAAGCUCACUGACACACACAUGCUCACUACAAACAAGCUCACUGACACGCACAUGCUCACUAUAAACAAGCUCACUGACACACACAUGCUCACUACAGACAAG
Pelobates cultripes (western spadefoot toad) is the source of this 307-nucleotide non-coding RNA. NCBI's taxonomy places the organism in Eukaryota, Metazoa, Chordata, Amphibia, Anura, Pelobatidae. The record is from the annotation of a GenBank genome assembly.